UAUAUUAGAAAUGCAGUAGAUAAUGAGCAUGAUUAAUUAGUUACAUGGCACUCUGUAUUCACAAGCGAAUAGAGAAAGGAACACCAGAACUUAUAGAACAAACACAACCUUUUACUUAGCACAACAACACCUAUAAUUCGUAGAAUAAGAGGAGAACGAAACUUGAAAAACUUAGCUUUUAUACAACGAGGGACGCGGCCCUAUUCAGUCGGGCCGAGAGAUGACUAGAAAUGGAGGAGAACGAACGAGGCGGCGCCAACGUGUGCUGCCGUCUCUCGCCAUUAACCGAACAGCAACAAUAGAGCCGAGAGAUCAUGGCUCGACCCUUGCCUCCGUCAUGUCGGCACAAACGUGUGCGUGAGAGCAGUGAGCGGCGACGGCCUCCCUACAGCAGCGGCGUUCGGUGCUUGGCAGCAGAAGUCGGCCUUGGGCGAGGCAGCGGCAGCCGACGACGGUGGUGGCUGUGGGAACUCGGCAACAGCAGCCGCAACUUCAGAACAGCAGCAGUCGGCGGCCAACUCGACGAACAGCAACAGUCGGCGGAUCCUCGGUGAACAGCAACAACAGCCGCGACUCCGGGCGAGCAGCAGCAGUUCCAGGCGGCUGAGCGGGGCGGCGCGGCCGAAGGCCAAGCGCCGCUGGUCGCGGCCCAGAGCUGAACAGCAGUAGUCAGCGGCAGCAGCUCCACGCGGCGACCUCGCUGUGAGUCGCCGGAGCAACAGAAAGCGACGCUCCUCGCCGUUGAAGAGAAGAGCCGCGGCGGCGGAAGUUCGAGGGAGGAGAUGGCUGGAUUGAGCGAGAAAGAGAGAUGGUUUCCAGCGAUGACUCGCCGGGAAGAAAGGACGCCGGAAUCGAGCGAGAAAAAGAGAGAUGUGAGCAGCGUGAUUUUGAGAGAGAGAGUUGAGCAGCGUUUUUAAUUGUGAGAAUGAGAGAGAUGGUGGGUUCUGCUUUUAAAAAAAAAGAAGAGAGUCUCGAUAAUUAUAUUGAGAGAAUGAAUGUUGGCUUUAAUAAAGAGAGAGAGAGAGAUAUUAAAAAUGUGUGUGCAGCGUGUGUUUUGUUAAUAAAGAGGAGAAAUUUUACUUUAAGAUAAGGAGAGAGAUGAUGUUGAGUGGUGUGAUUUGUGUUAUAAAAAAAGAGAGAAGAACCGAUAAUGUGAGGAUUAAGAGAAAAAGUGUGUUUUGCUUUAUAUAAAAAACAAAAAAGAGGGGGACCGAUGAUAGUGAAUUGUGAGAGAAAGAGGAAAAUAUUGGUAGAGAAAGAGAGCGAAAGAGGCGUGAGAGUGAUAGUCGAAAAGAAAGGGGAAAAAGGAAGUUUGGAGUUUGGGCCGGGUUUGGGCCGACAAAUUGGGCCUGGUUCAGUUUAUUUGUUGGGCCGGAUAUUAAUUCAUUUGGGCUUUGCUUAUUUUAUUUCCAUUGGGCUAAUAUAUAUAUUGUUUGGACUCUAUUAUUUAUAUAAAUGGGCUCCUAUUAUUUAUUUUAAUUGGGCUCCUACAAUUUAUUUAGUUAAGCCCAAUGAGACUUAUUAAUUUAAGCCCCAUUAUUAAUCCUAAUUAUAUUUAAUUAGUGAUUAUUUUUUUUUAAGUAAAUUAGAUUAUUUUAAGAUGAGUAGAUUAUUAAAGAUUAAUAAUCCGACCUCAUAAGACGAGCUUUAAUUCCUUAAAUAGGAUUAGCAUCUCAUAAUUUAAUUAAAGGAAUAUGAGUCAUGCAUAAUCAUUUCACGCAUCCUCAUUUAUUGAGAUUUUUCGAGAAUUAGAAUCUUAUUUUAUUUUCUCGGAUUAAAGGUCAAGCACCAGAGUUAGAGCUAAACCGUGAGUCUGCUAUUCAGGUGGGCUUUCUAUGUAUAAACUAAAAUUAUAUAUUAGAAUUGUUAAGACUUUAUGCUUAUGAAUUUAAAUGAUAUUGUCAAUGCCUAAAUGCUUUAUGUUUUAUUAUUAAUUGCCUAUCUGAUGAUAAUCGAAUUCGGAUUCUGGAUGGGACUGCAAAUCCCUUCGGAAUUAGUGUACACCUUGUGAUCGUGAGUCAUCUAGCGGGUUGGCCGAUCAUAGUGUCCGUAGAGGGAGGCCUCCCUCUCGGCACGAGUUACUGAUAUGGUGAUUAAUGAUAUAAAAUACCUGUACAGGUUAUUGAUGAAAGAAAUGAUAAUAUUUUGGUAAAUACGAGUCUUUAAAGGAAAACCCUCGUAUCUUACUACUGUUGAAAGGCUUGACAAUAAAAUAUUAUGCAUGUAUGUAAAUUUCGGCAAGUGUCCACUAAGUACUCCCGUACUUAGCCCUGCAUGUAUUUUUAAAUGUGCAGGUUGAGCUGUGAUCGAGGAUGUAGUGUGCAAGCGGAGCUUCUGUCAAUCUAGGAUGAGUACCUCAGAGUAGAGUAUAUGUCUUCAUACAUAUACUCAAAAUGUUAUUCCGCUGCGAACACUGAUUUUGCUAAAGACAUUAUGUUAUCUUGUCAAAUAAUAUGUAUUAUUUAAUAAUGUACUCAAACUCGUUGAGUACCUCUUUUGGAUAAUAUUAUGUACGGUUCCUUUUGACCUUCGUUAAAUUCUAGUUAAUUUCAAUCGUUUUCAUUAUACAAGUCGAGUCAUCAAGAAGCUAAACAUGCCCCUUUUCUAAUCCCGCUCCUAAUUUCCCUCCCUUAGUCGCGGUUUUCCCGAAUUUGCUAUCCUUAGCAAGUGCGGUCGUGACAGAAUGGUAUCAUUGCUUUGUAUUCGUUGGGUGAAAGAAAAAGAAAAAUACAAAUUAUGUUGCUUGGAAAUAAAUUACAAUAAAAUAUUUCAUAAAUAAAAUAAUAAGAAAAUAACUUAAUUAUAGAAAUUUUUUAUUAGGAUAAAAAGAAAAUCACCAUCAUAACCUUAUUAUAAAAAAAUAGCAACAAUACAAUAUGAUAAAUAUCAAUCGUCAUAUUUAUCUAUUCAACGUUCAAAUUUUAUUUCUAAUUCUUACAUACUUACCCAGUUUUAUUUGAUCCUUCGUAUAUAUUUGUGAGUGCUCUUCCUUUAUGUAGUAUACAUAUACAUAUAUAUAUAUAUAUAUAUUAUAAUUUUAUUAUACAUUUAAAAAAAUUAAUUGCUGAGAAUUUUAUUGCAUAUUUUUAAAUUUUUAACGCGUUUUUAGUGUAAAAAGGUAUAAUCCUCCCUUAAAUAUCUAGAUAUUUAAGAACCUUUUUUCCCCGCCUUUUUAUGUUUUAACAUGUUUUUAAGAUGUAUAAUGUUGAACAUAAAUAUGCAAUAAAAAAACAGCUUAAUAUUACACACAAAAAUGAAUGGAUAAUUAAAAAAAUUAUAACUAAUUUGGAUAAAUUAAUUAAUAUCAAAUAAGAAAUUCUAUUAUUUAGAUAUAUAAUAUACUCCAUAUAUUAAAACUUAAAUCCCAAACCUAGCUUGUAUAUUAAAGAUCAUACAUAAUACAAACUUUUCAAAUUUUAGUGAACUUUUUUAAUUUUAAAAUUUAUAUAGUACAAAUAUUUAACAGAUAUUUUUAACAAUUUGUUGAUAAUAAUGCACCAUAUUUUUAACAAAUAUUUUAAAAUUUCUAUACUCCAUUUUCUAUAAAAAUAUUUAACAAAUAUUUUUAUAAUACUGUCAACACAUUUGUUGAUAAUAAUGCACCAUAUUUUUAAUUAAAUUUUUUAAUUUAGAUGUUUUUAUGUUAUGCUUGAUAUAAUAACCCAACACACAAAUAUGAUGUUUUAUUGUUAUUUAUCUUUUUUUAUACAAAAAAAAAAAAGAAAGAAGAGAUGAGAGAUAAAUUUUGUAGUAUAGAGAGAAAAAGAAAUAUAAUAACAACAAUAAUAAUCGUAAAAAUAAGAAAGAGGGAAAAUAUAAAAGAAUAGAAAAAAAGAGGAGAGAGAAAAAUAAUUACCAUAAAAAUUUAAAUUACAAUAAUUUAUUUAUUUCAAAUUCAUAUUUGAUUAUUUUUAUAUCAAAUUAAAAGAUCUUAUCAUUAUCUUUAAUUUUAGAUGCAUAUAAUUUUUUUUUAUAAAAUCACUAAAAUAUAAAACAGAGAGUAUAAGAGAGAGAAAUUGUAUAUAUAAAAAAAGAGUCAAGAAACUCGUUGAGUACCUCUUUUUUAAAUUUAGCACGCCAUGCUCCCUCAGCCACUCUAUUCUCACCCGUGCUUAGCUUUUCUUUUCCACUCCUACAUAGUCAAAAAAAGAAUUCAGCAAAUCUCCUAGGAUUGUUGAGCGUACUAUUCAUCAACCACGCUCAUUAAUCUCAAGAAUAUUCAACAUACAAAUCUCAAUUGUCAGCAGAAAAUCUCAUCAAUUAAAUUCUUCAACCACGCCUCAAUUUAGCCGUACUAUUCAUCAUCUUUUCACACUAAUCAGCUCUCCUUAAGUUCAGUAUAAAGCCAUCCUUAUUCACCCUCUUCAUCACAGCAACAAAUCUACUCCUUCCAUCGAGAAAUCACCAAGCAUAAUCUCCUCAUUCCCAUUCCACAAACGUUCCUAGCAAAAAGAGGAAAGACUGCACUGCUCUUCAUCAUUCUCUGCCAAAGCAUUUUCAAGUAUCAGUUCAUUCAAACAAUAACCAACCAACAAAACCAUUCAAGGUAUUUCAUGCUAUCUUAGUUCACUCUCUUCAUAUACAUAUAUCAUAUCUCAGUAGAGCAUGCUUUAUAUAUUAGAAAUGCAGUAGAUAAUGAGCAUGAUUAAUUAGUUACAUGGCACUCUGUAUUCACAAGCGAAUAGAGAAAGGAACACCAGAACUUAUAGAACAAACACAGCCUUUUACUUAGCACAACAACACCUAUAAUUCGUAGAAUAAGAGGAGAACGAAACUUGAAAAACUUAGCUUUUAUACAACGAGGGACGCGGCCUAUUCAGUCGGGCCGAGAGAUGACUAGAAAUGGAGGAGAACGAACGAGGCGGCGCCAACGUGUGCUGCCGUCUCUCGCCAUUAACCGAACAGCAACAAUAGAGCCGAGAGAUCAUGGCUCGACCCUUGCCUCCGUCAUGUCGGCACAAACGUGUGCGUGAGAGCAGUGAGCGGCGACGGCCUCCCUACAGCAGCGGCGUUCGGUGCUUGGCAGCAGAAGUCGGCCUUGGGCGAGGCAGCGGCAGCCGACGACGGUGGUGGCUGUGGGAACUCGGCAACAGCAGCCGCAACUUCAGAACAGCAGCAGUCGGCGGCCAACUCGACGAACAGCAACAGUCGGCGGAUCCUCGGUGAACAGCAACAACAGCCGCGACUCCGGGCGAGCAGCAGCAGUUCCAGGCGGCUGAGCGGGGCGGCGCGGCCGAAGGCCAAGCGCCGCUGGUCGCGGCCCAGAGCUGAACAGCAGUAGUCAGCGGCAGCAGCUCCACGCGGCGACCUCGCUGUGAGUCGCCGGAGCAACAGAAAGCGAUGCUCCUCGCCGUUGAAGAGAAGAGCCGCGGCGGCGGAAGUUCGAGGGAGGAGAUGGCUGGAUUGAGCGAGAAAGAGAGAUGGUUUCCAGCGAUGACUCGCCGGGAAGAAGGACGCCGGAAUCGAGCGAGAAAAAGAGAGAUGUGAGCAGCGUGAUUUUGAGAGAGAGAGUUGAGCAGCGUUUUUAAUUGUGAGAAUGAGAGAGAUGGUGGGUUCUGCUUUUAAAAAAAAAGAGAGAGUCUCGAUAAUUAUAUUGAGAGAAUGAAUGUUGGCUUUAAUAAAGAGAGAGAGAGAGAUAUUAAAAAUGUGUGUGCAGCGUGUGUUUUGUUAAUAAAGAGGAGAAAUUUUACUUUAAGAUAAGGAGAGAGAUGAUGUUGAGUGGUGUGAUUUGUGUUAUAAAAAAAGAGAGAAGAACCGAUAAUGUGAGGAUUAAGAGAAAAAGUGUGUUUUGCUUUAUAUAAAAAACAAAAAAGAGGGGGACCGAUGAUAGUGAAUUGUGAGAGAAAGAGGAAAAUAUUGGUAGAGAAAAAGAGAGAGAGAGGCGUGAGAGAUAAUAGUGGAAGAGAGGAGUGGGCCUUCCUCAAUUGGGCCGGGUUUGGGCCGAUUCUUUUGGGCUUGUUUUUAUUUUCCUUGGGCCUGGUUCAGUUUAUUUGUUGGGCCGGAUAUUAAUUCAUUUGGGCUUUGCUUAUUUUAAUUCAUUUGGGCUUGUUUUUAUUUCUCAAUUGGGCCUAGUUCAUUUAAUCUGUUGGGCUUUAGAAUUUAAUUGAUGUUGGGCUUAAUGUUAUUUAUGCA
This 6132-nucleotide long non-coding RNA is filed under the name Salvia miltiorrhiza (redroot sage). RNAcentral's name for it is "long non-coding RNA (SMIL_LNC006911)". The record is from RNAcentral. Lineage: Eukaryota; Viridiplantae; Streptophyta; Magnoliopsida; Lamiales; Lamiaceae.